ACAAGUAGCGGGGCAUGUGGUUUAAUUCGAAGCAACGCGAAGAACCUUACCUAAGCUUGACAUCCCAAUGACAUCGCCUUAAUCGGAGAGUUCCCUUCGGGGACAUUGGUGACAGGUGGUGCAUGGUGGUCGUCAGCUCGUGUCGUGAGAUGUUGGGUUAAGUCCCGCAACGAGCGCAACCCUUGUCUUUAGUUGCCAUCAUU
This 203-nucleotide ribosomal RNA is filed under the name Clostridioides difficile. RNAcentral describes it as "partial 16S ribosomal RNA". It matches the Rfam family "Bacterial small subunit ribosomal RNA", at positions 925 to 1125 of the family's 1533-position model. The record is from RNAcentral. Lineage: Bacteria; Bacillati; Bacillota; Clostridia; Peptostreptococcales; Peptostreptococcaceae.